CCAAAUUAAGGUGAAACCGCGAAAGGCUCAUUAAAUCAGUUAUGGUUCCUUAGAUCGUACCACAUUUACUUGGAUAACUGUGGUAAUUCUAGAGCUAAUACAUGCCAACAGAGCUCCGACCGGAGACGGAAGGAGCGCUUUUAUUAGAUCAAAACCAAUCGGUGGCCGGAAACGGUCAUCGUCCAACUUGGUGACUCUGAAUAACUUUAUGCUGAUCGCACGGUCUCGCACCGGCGACGCAUCUUUCAAAUGUCUGCCUUAUCAACUGUCGAUGGUAGGUUCUGCGCCUACCAUGGUUGUAACGGGUAACGGGGAAUCAGGGUUCGAUUCCGGAGAGGGAGCCUGAGAAACGGCUACCACAUCCAAGGAAGGCAGCAGGCGCGCAAAUUACCCACUCCCGGCACGGGGAGGUAGUGACGAAAAAUAACGAUACGGGACUCAUCCGAGGCCCCGUAAUCGGAAUGAGUACACUUUAAAUCCUUUAACGAGGAUCAAUUGGAGGGCAAGUCUGGUGCCAGCAGCCGCGGUAAUUCCAGCUCCAAUAGCGUAUAUUAAAGUUGUUGCGGUUAAAAAGCUCGUAGUCGAAUUUGUGUCUCACGCCGCUGGUUCAUCGUUCGCGCGGUGUCAACUGGCGUGUCGUGGGACGUCCUGCCGGUGGGCUUAGCGGUCUCUCUUCUGAGAUUGCGGCCCAAUUCAAUCCUGCCACGGUGCUCUUCAUUGAGUGUCGAGGUGGGCCGGCACGUUUACUUUGAACAAAUUAGAGUGCUUAAAGCAGGCUGAAUUUUGCCUGAAUACUGUGUGCAUGGAAUAAUGGAAUAGGACCUCGGUUCUAUUUUGUUGGUUUUCGGAACUCCGAGGUAAUGAUUAAUAGGAACGGAUGGGGGCAUUCGUAUUGCGACGUUAGAGGUGAAAUUCUUGGAUCGUCGCAAGACGGACAGAAGCGAAAGCAUUUGCCAAAAACGCUUUCAUUGAUCAAGAACGAAAGUUAGAGGUUCGAAGGCGAUCAGAUACCGCCCUAGUUCUAACCAUAAACGAUGCCAGCUAGCGAUCCGACGACGUUCCUUGAAUGACUCGUCGGGCAGCUUCCGGGAAACCAAAGCUUUUGGGUUCCGGGGGAAGUAUGGUUGCAAAGCUGAAACUUAAAGGAAUUGACGGAAGGGCACCACCAGGAGUGGAGCCUGCGGCUUAAUUUGACUCAACACGGGAAACCUCACCAGGCCCGGACACCGGAAGGAUUGACAGAUUGAGAGCUCUUUCUUGAUUCGGUGGGUGGUGGUGCAUGGCCGUUCUUAGUUGGUGGAGCGAUUUGUCUGGUUAAUUCCGAUAACGAACGAGACUCUAGCCUACUAACUAGGCGUUUAGACAUUCGAAAGGCCCGCAGGCCCCGCGAGAAGGUCAGUUUCGGCUGUGCCUCUCUCGAGGUGUGUCGGCGCGGUUUUUUCUGUCUACGUAUACUAUAUUCUUCUUAGAGGGACAGGCUGCUUCUAGCAGCACGAGAUUGAGCAAUAACAGGUCUGUGAUGCCCUUAGAUGUUCUGGGCCGCACGCGCGCUACACUGAAGGAAUCAGCGUGUCCUCCCUGGCCGAGUGGCCCGGGUAACCCGCUGAACCUCCUUCGUGCUAGGGAUUGGGGCUUGCAAUUGUUCCCCAUGAACGAGGAAUUCCCAGUAAGCGCGAGUCAUAAGCUUGCGUUGAUUACGUCCCUGCCCUUUGUACACACCGCCCGUCGCUACUAC
This 1735-nucleotide ribosomal RNA is filed under the name Eufallia seminivea. Its description in RNAcentral is "SSU rRNA". It matches the Rfam family "Eukaryotic small subunit ribosomal RNA", at positions 70 to 1685 of the family's 1831-position model. The record is from RNAcentral. Lineage: Eukaryota; Metazoa; Arthropoda; Insecta; Coleoptera; Latridiidae.